Molecule: ribosomal RNA, 253 nt
Filed under: uncultured bacterium
Lineage: Bacteria
Description: partial 16S ribosomal RNA
Rfam family: Bacterial small subunit ribosomal RNA
Source: RNAcentral
AACGUAGGUGGCGAGCGUUAUCCGGAUUUACUGGGCGUAAAGGGUGUGCAGGCGGGCUGUUAAGUGGUGUAUGAAGUAUCCCGGCUCAACCGGGAGAGGUUAUGCCAGACUGGCAGUCUAGAGAGCGAGAGAGGGACGUGGAAUUCCGGGUGUAGUGGUGAAAUGCGUAGAGAUCCGGAGGAACCCCAGAGGCGAAGGCGGCGUCCUGGCUCGCAUCUGACGCUCAGACACGACAGCAUGGGGAGCGAACGGG